UACGUAGGGUGCAAGCGUUAAUCAGAAUUACUGGGCGUAAAGCGUGCGCAGGCGGUUUUGUAAGUCUGUCGUGAAAUCCCCGGGCUCAACCUGGGAAUUGCGAUGGAGACUGCAAGGCUAGAAUCUGGCAGAGGGGGGUAGAAUUCCACGUGUAGCAGUGAAAUGCGUAGAGAUGUGGAGGAACACCGAUGGCGAAGGCAGCCCCCUGGGUCAAGAUUGACGCUCAUGCACGAAAGCGUGGGGAGCAAACAGG
This 253-nucleotide ribosomal RNA is filed under the name uncultured bacterium. RNAcentral's name for it is "partial 16S ribosomal RNA". It matches the Rfam family "Bacterial small subunit ribosomal RNA", at positions 524 to 776 of the family's 1533-position model. The record is from RNAcentral.